GACGAACGCUGGCGGCGUGCCUAAUACAUGCAAGUCGAGCGAAGUUUUUCUGGUGCUUGCACCGGAAAAACUUAGCGGCGAACGGGUGAGUAACACGUAAAGAACCUGCCUCAUAGACUGGGACAACUAUUGGAAACGAUAGCUAAUACCGGAUAACAGCAUUAACUGCAUGGUUGAUGUUUAAAAGUUGGUUUUGCUAACACUAUGAGAUGGCUUUGCGGUGCAUUAGCUAGUUGGUGGGGUAAAGGCCUACCAAGGCGACGAUGCAUAGCCGACCUGAGAGGGUGAUCGGCCACACUGGGACUGAGACACGGCCCAGACUCCUACGGGAGGCAGCAGUAGGGAAUCUUCCGCAAUGGGCGAAAGCCUGACGGAGCAACGCCGCGUGAGUGAAGAAGGAUUUCGGUUCGUAAAGCUCUGUUGUUAGGGAAGAAUGAUUGUGUAGUAACUAUGCACAGUAGAGACGGUACCUAACCAGAAAGCCACGGCUAACUACGUG
RNAcentral lists this ribosomal RNA (499 nucleotides) under uncultured bacterium. Its description in RNAcentral is "partial 16S ribosomal RNA". It matches the Rfam family "Bacterial small subunit ribosomal RNA", at positions 28 to 507 of the family's 1533-position model. The record is from RNAcentral.